Molecule: long non-coding RNA, 1983 nt
Organism: Ictalurus punctatus (channel catfish)
Lineage: Eukaryota; Metazoa; Chordata; Actinopteri; Siluriformes; Ictaluridae
Source: Ensembl
CUGAUAAGCAGUUUCAUAGCUUCACAACAGGUGCGGCUUGUUUCCUUAUUUCAUGACAAAUUAAGGAGAUAAAAGUUCUGAUGCUAUACUUUCUGCUCAGAUUCAGUCAAUUGCUGCUGAUAGGAGAGUGUUUCACAGUACAGAUGGUUAGUGACCCAAAAUGUAGUGCGAAAGCAAGAGCUUCUUAAGGCAAAUAAAUUAAAUGUUCUUAAAUGUCAGAUGACCUCAACUCCAUUGAGCAUGCUUUUCACUUACUGAGAGCAAAACUAAAGGCAGAAAGGUCUACAAACAUACAGCAACUGAAGGCCGGUGUAGUAAACACCUGGCAAAAUAUCUCAAGGUUUGGUGAUCUCCAUGGGUUCCAGAUGUCAGGCAGUCGUUGUAUGUAACGGAUUUGCAUUAAAUGAUGCCACAUACAGAUACUCUGUGCUGAGGCGGAUGGAGGAGCAGAGAGAGGAAGAAUCUGAUGAGGAUCUUUUGGAAUGAAACCAGGCGUGAUGUGGAAUUAUUAUUAGUAUAAAAAAAACAAUAAUAAUUCUCAGGAUUUUCUUCAGAAACAGUUUGUCCUUUUCAGCCCCAUCUUCCUUCUGUCCUUAGUUUUAAUGCCAAAACUAUUAUGGGUUUUUAAAGGUCACAUGGUGCUGGUUAAUGUUGUAAAUGUGAAUGGCAAGAUUAUUUAUUAAGAACUGCCUUCAGGAUCCAGAGUGAAGCGAUCAAAAAGUUUGGAACUGUGAAACACAGCCAAUGAGUCUGAGAUUUUAUUUAUUUUGUUGUUGUUAUUGUUUGUUACAGGAAAAUACAACCCACUAUUUUCAAUGUUACUCUAAUUUUUGAGUUUUAAUGGGUUGAGAAUAUGUUUGAUCUAAACCUUAACAACUCAAAAGCAACCGAACAUAACCUAACUUGAACCUAAUGUGUCCUGUUGGUGGAAAUUUCAGGAAUUAAAAGCUACAUGGCUCUGAUAAAUGGUCCAAAUAAGAUUGUACAUGUUUAAAUAAUAAGUCUAAUAUUUGACUAGUUGGAUCUUGUUUAAAUAAAUCUGAACUAAGGGGGUCCAUGGAAUUUAUUAAAGUUAAAGGGGUUCUUGGCUGCAAAAAGUUUGAGAACCUCAGCACUACAGUAUAACACAAUAAUUAAAUGGGCUUUGUCACUAUCCUUAAUCUGUAUUCCCACUAAUUAUAAGGAAUUUUAUGCUGAAAGUUUUUCCUCAUUGCUUAUUGUGUGUAGUGUAGGUAAAACAUUGCAUUUUUUUCACAUUAAGAUUUAUGGGCAAUUGUCUAAUCAGGUGACUCCCCUUGGGCUUUUGCGCAUAUUUGCUUUAGUUAAGGAUUUUGUAUUUCUUUCAGUUUUUCUAAAUGUGAGUAGGGGUUACAUAUGUGUUUGGUCUACCAGUAUGGUUAGCACAUUUUCCUCGCACCUUUGGGGUGCCAGGAAAUCCCCGCCUCUGCCCUGUGCAUGCAGAGCUGGCAUGUUCUCCCCAUGCUUCAGGGGUUUCCUCUGGGUACUCUGGUUUCUUCCCCCAGUCCAAAGACAUGCACUAUAUGUUGAUUGGCAUUUCCAAAUUGUCCUUAGUGUGUGAAUGGGUGUGUGCGAUUGUGCCCUGUGAUGAGUUGGCACCCUGUCCAGGGUGUCCCCCUGCCUUGUGCCCCGAGUUCCCUGGGAUAGACUCCAGGAUCAGCCUUGUGUAGCAUAAGUGGUACAGAAAUUGGAUGGAUGUUAAAUCAGUCUUGGGUUAACGUAUAUUGUUAGAUAAGUUAAACAAGGUUCUUUCUGUGUCAUUUUGUGUUGUAAUUGUUUUGUUUUGCUGCCUGAGAAUGUGAGUAGAUUUCCUUGUUAGAUUUUGUUGACUGUGUGAUUUAUGUAGUGCUUCAUUGUAUGAAUUGAUAUGUACCUCUGAAACACCUGAGAGAAAUUUUAUGACCUGAAAUUGUUUGAGUAAUUGCUGAAAAUUCACCACUCAGGAUUAAAGUUAUUUCAAACCCC